This 72-nucleotide transfer RNA is filed under the name Anotopterus pharao (daggertooth). RNAcentral's name for it is "tRNA-Gly". It matches the Rfam family "tRNA". Rfam says of the family: Transfer RNA (tRNA) molecules are approximately 80 nucleotides in length. Their secondary structure includes four short double-helical elements and three loops (D, anti-codon, and T loops). Further hydrogen bonds mediate the characteristic L-shaped molecular structure. tRNAs have two regions of fundamental functional importance: the anti-codon, which is responsible for specific mRNA codon recognition, and the 3' end, to which the tRNAs corresponding amino acid is attached (by aminoacyl-tRNA synthetases). tRNAs cope with the degeneracy of the genetic code in two manners: having more than one tRNA (with a specific anti-codon) for a particular amino acid; and 'wobble' base-pairing, i.e. permitting non-standard base-pairing at the 3rd anti-codon position. Lineage: Eukaryota; Metazoa; Chordata; Actinopteri; Aulopiformes; Alepisauridae. The record is from RNAcentral.
AUCUUUCUAGUAUAAAUGUUAGUACCUGUGACUUCCAAUCACCCAGACCUGGUUAAAACCCAGGGAAAGAUA